Molecule: transfer RNA, 93 nt
Filed under: Gammaproteobacteria bacterium
Lineage: Bacteria; Pseudomonadati; Pseudomonadota; Gammaproteobacteria
Also listed under: 1 other name
Description: tRNA-Ser
Rfam family: tRNA
About the family: Transfer RNA (tRNA) molecules are approximately 80 nucleotides in length.
Source: RNAcentral
GGAGAGGUGCCGGAGUGGUUGAACGGGCUCGCCUGGAAAGUGAGUAUACGGUGUUGAGCCGUAUCGAGGGUUCGAAUCCCUCCCUCUCCGCCA